Molecule: unclassified non-coding RNA, 378 nt
Filed under: plant metagenome
Description: partial contains 5.8S ribosomal RNA, internal transcribed spacer 2, and large subunit ribosomal RNA
Rfam family: 5.8S ribosomal RNA (bases 1-105)
Source: RNAcentral
GAAAUGCGAUAAGUAAUGUGAAUUGCAGAAUUCAGUGAAUCAUCGAAUCUUUGAACGCACCUUGCGCUCCUUGGUAUUCCGUGGAGCAUGCCUGUUUGAGUAUCAUGAAAUCUUCAAAGUAAAUCUUUUGUUAACUCAAUUGGUUUCUACUUUGGUAUUGGAGGUCUUUGCAGCUUCACACCUGCUCCUCUUUGUUCAUUAGCUGGAUCUCAGUGUUAUGCUUGGUUCCACUCGGCGUGAUAAGUUAUCUAUCGCUGAGGACACUGUAAAAGGUGGCCAAGGUAAAUGCAGAUGAACCGCUUCUAAUAGUCCAUUGACUUGGACAAUACUUUUAUGAUCUGAUCUCAAAUCAGGUAGGACUACCCGCUGAACUUAAGC